UGAGGACAAAGGAGCUGCUCUGACUCUUUG
RNAcentral lists this non-coding RNA (30 nucleotides) under Mus musculus (house mouse). The record is from RNAcentral. Lineage: Eukaryota; Metazoa; Chordata; Mammalia; Rodentia; Muridae.